Gorilla gorilla gorilla (western lowland gorilla) is the source of this 5032-nucleotide RNA transcript. It is a transcript of the gene named olfactory receptor 1J2, with no coding region annotated. The transcript has 9 exons. Lineage: Eukaryota; Metazoa; Chordata; Mammalia; Primates; Hominidae. The record is from RefSeq and is a predicted model, not a curated record.
CUACUUACUAUUCAUCAUAUUAUUCAAUCAUGCUGCAAUAACCUUAACCCUGUGGCUCUCUGGACCUCUCCUUCAGAUGAAACACCACAUGGCUGCUUAACUCUGACAGACCAGCUUUUAAUUCCUUGGGAGCGAUUCCUGUGGACAAUGCUGAGUUGUCGUGGUUUACAGAUGGCUCACAUUUAAAGAAUGAGUCUGGCAAGUAUUGUGCAGGCUGUGCAGUCAUGACUUCCUUUGAGAUUGUGAAAGCAGCUCAUUUACUAUUAACUACUUCAGCCCAGCAGGCAGAUCUGUUUGCCCUCACUUGAGCCUGACUCCUUGCUACAGGAAAGACUGUUUAUGUAAGCAGCAGGGUAGUGUUGACAGAAUUGCUCUUGAUUAUCUAUUAGCCAAGCAAGAUGGUAUCUAUGCGAUUGCUAAUACUGCAUGUUGUACCCAGGUUAACUCCUCCAGGUGAACACUUGGCAGGACAACAGGCAGACAAGGAGCAGCCUGGGCUACACCCUCCUCCAUCCAGCUUGGCAGGGAAGGUUGGGGCAGGGCCUCGCUAGGAGAUAGGGACUGGAGGGCGAGGCCAGGGGCAGGGUUAGGCAUGGGGACAGCACCACGGUGGGGCCUUCCUGGCUCACUGUCCACUACCAGGUACUGGGAUCCCCAGUUAUUUUAUUGCCUCACCGUGAAAAGAAGUGAAAGCGUUCCCUAAACAUAAUUUCAUCAUUGUCUUUAUCUCUCUCCCGCCACAUUUCUUCUUUUCUAUUGCUCUUUCUCUCACAAAAGCAGGGGAUAUAUAUCAAACUUGCUAAGUGGUUCUAUUGAAGCUUCUUCCAUUAAGCUUGAGAUAAGGAGAAAAACACCCCUCUCCCUGUUAGGAGGAUUUGGGGUUCACUAUGCAGCUUUCUCUGAAAGAAAACUUUACAAGACACUCUCUUACUUCCAGCUCUCAGCUCUUUUUAGAUCCACAUUAGAUUGAGAGGCUCAAGUGUCACGAUAUUGAUUAUUAUUAUUGAGUAUUUCCUAUCAAUAUCUUCAUUUUGUGUGUCACAAUUCACUUUAAUAUCUGUUGUCUCCCAGGUCUUGGUGCCUCAGUUGAAACUUCCAAUUUAACAUCCUGACACACACUACUCCCUCUUCUUGUGAUCAUCAGAACAAGAUAAAACCUUGUGUGUCUGGAUAGUUCUCAUCUGUUAAGAUUCAGGCUCAACCACACAUGUGACAAUGUCUCUUGGGGAUGCAGCGGUGAAUUCCUCUCACAGUAUGUCUAAGGAGCAUUGGCUAAAAUUUGUCUUUUCCCCAGGAUGGCUUUCAAAGCAUUUUACUGACUGUGUCAAGCCAGAUCUUAGAGCUGGAACAGUGAGAAAAGUCAUGAGCUCAACCCUGAAGUGGAGAAGAGGCACAUUCUUUGUUUUUCACCAGCCACAAGGCUACAGCAAGAGUAUCUCCCUUUACCUGCCUGGAUGGGAACCCAGGGGACUGGUGCCGGAAGUCUGUGUUCCCAAUCCAUUGAAUGAGAUCGACAAAACCGUCCACAUCAGACACUGUAAUGAAGGUCUACUAACAGGAGGAAUUCAAAUGAUUAAGCAGUAACCAUAUCUUUAGGCUUAGUGAAAUCUUUACUGUGUUUCCUGGUAGGAGUAUCCAGGAUCUGGAAUUCCAGUUCAGCAGAGCAAAAAGUUCAAGAUACCAGAAGCAUAAAUGCCUCCAAGACAGUGAUCAGGAAGUAUGAGGGCAAAGGAGUAUGAGCCUUGAGAACCAGAGCAGCGUGUCCGAGUUCCUCCUCCUGGGCCUCCCCAUCCGGCCAGAGCAGCAGGCUGUGUUCUUCACCCUGUUCCUGGGCAUGUACCUGACCACGGUGCUGGGGAACCUGCUCAUCAUGCUGCUCAUCCAGCUGGACUCUCACCUUCACACCCCCAUGUACUUCUUCUUCAGCCACUUGGCCCUCACUGACAUCUCCUUUUCAUCUGUCACUGUCCCUAAGAUGCUGAUGGACAUGCGGACUAAGUACAAAUCGAUCCUCUAUGAGGAAUGCAUUUCUCAGAUGUAUUUUUUUAUAUUUUUUACUGACCUGGACAGCUUCCUUAUUACAUCAAUGGCAUAUGACCGAUAUGUUGCCAUAUGUCACCCUCUCCACUACACUGUCAUCAUGAGGGAAGAGUUCUGUGUCUUCUUAGUGGCUGUAUCUUGGAUUCUGUCUUGUGCCAGCUCCCUCUCUCACACCGUUCUCCUGACCCAGCUGUCUUUCUGUGCUGCGAACACCAUCCCCCAUGUCUUCUGUGACCUUGCUGCCCUGCUCAAGCUGUCCUGCUCAGAUAUCUUCCUCAAUGAGCUGGUCAUGUUCACAGUAGGGGUGGUGGUCAUUACCCUGCCAUUCAUGUGUAUCCUGGUAUCAUAUGGUUACAUUGGGGCCACCAUCCUGGGGGUCCCUUCAACCAAAGGGAUCCACAAAGCAUUGUCCACAUGUGGCUCCCAUCUCUCUGUGGUGUCUCUCUAUUAUGGGUCAAUAUUUGGCCAGUACCUUUUCCCGACUGUAAGCAGUUCUAUUGACAAGGAUGUCAUUGUGGCUCUCAUGUACACGGUGGUCACACCCACGUUGAACCCCUUUAUCUACAGCCUUAGGAACAGGGACAUGAAAGAAGCCCUUGGGAAACUCUUCAGUAGAGCAACAUUUUUCUCUUGGUGACAUCUGACUUUUUAAAAAAUUAGAAUCUCAUUUUGGUUUAUCUCAUGUAUUUGAUUUUCCAUUUGAAUAUGUCUCAAAACAUUUUAUGUCCUGAAGCCCUAAGACAAAUGUUAACAUGUUGAAUGUAAUUGGUAAAUAUUUGUUGACCAGAAUUCCAUUCUCUUAUUAACAAUGUUAUUCUUUAUAGUUUUUGAUCAGUGAAUGCCAAAUUUUAUUAUUUAUUUCUGCAACUUGGAGAAGGGACAUAAUAAUGCAAUAAUAUACAGUUUUCUUAUCCCUUAUUUGAGGAGAUGUUUGGAGACAUAUAUAUUUUUGGCCUAUAAUCCCAGGCUUUAACACAACAUAGAAUUGAAAGAAUUAGCUGUAUUAUUUUACUAUUCUCUCUAAUGUAGACUGAGUGGUAUCAUUAGUGAAGUAGUGCUUCAUACCAGUCUCCUUGGAAAUAUAACCAAAUUCAAGUGCUAACUCUUGGAAAGCAUCAUUUUCCUAAAAGUGCCACUCCAGAUUCAGCACUGACUGUCUUUCAUGAAGGAUAGUCCUGUCUUCCAAAUGAAGAAUGAAAAGUAACACUUCUCAAAUGUUAGGGUACAUGAGAAUUUCUGGAAAGAUUGUCAAAACUCAGAUUCCUUUGAUCUACCACUACAAAUUAUGAUCUAGUAGAAUUUUGGGUGAGGUCUAAGAAUUUGCAUUCCUAACAAGCUGCCACGUGAAACAAUGCUGUAGAAUGUUUACUAAAUCUUGGAAGUUGUGGGACACACAUUUAUAACACCUCAUCUGAAUUCUGGUAGUAGAUGGGAUGAAACAAGAGACACCUUAAGUUAUUUCAGUAAUAGAGAAAUCAGUGAUUCAUGUUGAUAUUUUUGGAUUAACUCUAGCUGUGGUAAAUUCCUCUCCCCAGUCUCUAAAUUAUCUCAUUUGUAUAUAAUAUAGAAAUACCCAGCUACUCCAUAUCAUGGUUUGUAUCAGCACACCAACCUAUAUAUGUAAUGAAAAUGAAGCCAAAGUUUGGAAAAAAACUACAUCCAGUGUCCAUCUGUGACUUCUUGUUUCCAUUAAGCCUCGUGGAAUUUCAGUGUGCCAUGUAACUUUUCUAAUGUCACUCAAAAUGCUCUGAUUUUCCUUGAAAGAUUGGGGCAGGUUCACGUGAUCUAUAAUAACUCUAACAACAUAUUUUCAUAUUUCUGAACUAACUGAAACAAUUAUUUCACACACGAUGCACAUUAAAUUGUAUAUUGGUUAGAAAACACUAGAUGAUUUCAGAAAAACUAUAACCCCACAAAGGGACACAAGUUCUUGGCAGAAUAUUGAACAAUUUUAUGUUAAAUGGUGUCAUUCAUUUAUAAAUGGCUCACUUCAUUUGCCAUGUUUUUUGACAUAUCCCAUAAAAUAGCAUUUGUUGUGGAUCCAAGCCAUGUUAUUAUUAUUUUUACCCCAGUCUUUUUAUCCGCUCUUGUUGUUACAUUGGCUCUAUGCAAAAUGCAAUAUGUUUACUCAAUUUUAUACAUAAAGAUAAGGCUAAUUACUACGUAAGCAGUAACUGGGAUGGCAUUGGUGAUGGCUUAAACUGGAGUCUGAGAUGGGAGGAUAGAAAUACUUGUGCAUUUUGAAGGAGUUUGAUAUUUGAUCUAUGUGUGGAAUAUUGCAGUAGCAACUUCCCUGUUAUUCAGCUAAUUUCAUUCCAUAACCUUUCACCUAGGCUUUGGGUGGGUGAAAACAAUCUGGCAUUGUUGCCUGUGUUUCCACAGAGUUCAACCUGAACUUCCGUUGUUCAUGUAUUUUCACAAGCAUUUUUUUUAAAUUUUACUUUAAGUUCUGGGAUACAUGUGCUGAAUGUGCAGGUUUGUUACAUAGGUAUACAUGUACCAUGGUGGUUUGCUGCAUGUAUCAACCGGUCAUUUGGUUUUAAGCCCCGCAUGUAUUAGAUAUUUGUCCUAAUGCUGUCCCUCCCCUUGCUCCCCACCCCCCGACAGGCCCUGGUGUGUGAUGUUCCCCUCCCUGGGUCCAUGUGCUCUCAUCAUUCAACUCCCACUUAUGAUUCACGAGCAUUUUCACAGUUGUGUCUCCUCUUUUCAAAAGGGCAAGCCGCAGACACUAAGGAAUUAAGACAAUGCAGCACAUUAAAGAUGAUGCUUUUGAAGAUAUUAAAGUAGCCUUGAUCCGACAGCUCACAAAAGAGAUGAUUUUAAGGCAUUUCAUAGUCUUUAAUAAAAUUUCACAGUGAAUAAAAUAAAACACCUUAAGUAGAUAUGUAUGUAUAGAUGUGCAUAGACGUAGAAAUGCAAACAUGGUGACAGUAAAUUAUCACAGAAAAUGAAAGCUAUAAAGUACUAUAAAAUAAAUCCCAUUAUGUACACA